AUGUAAACAUUCAUUAAACUAAUUUAAAGUUGUCAUUACUCUCCACCCCUGCUGUUUUAUAUCAGAUUAUUCCUAAGUGCUUGGUGAAGAAUCCCAUCAAGCCACACUCGAUUCCUCUGCAGGGGAUAAUCGCAUAGUUUGCGCUGUGAUUUACACUGCGUGGCACUGGGAAGUGUCCUCGACUUUGAAAGGCCUUGGUCCCCGGGCACUUGGUUGCUGCCUUCCCCACGGAAAUCCAACUCCAAUGGUCCCUCCAUGACAAUUAUGAGGUCCCCAUUACCUUGGCUCCAUCCAACUGGAGAUAAUUAAAAACAGCUCAAAGCACACGCCAGAAGGUAUCGGGCAUUUUAUUAAUAAAUGGAGAAGUGAGGAAAUGAUAUGUUCCGUUAACGGUUUCAACUGUAAGAUGCUCUUACGGUCCUUUCUUGCUUUUUUUCUCCCCAUCUUGUGUUUGGGGGCAGCCAGGCAUUCUGCGCUCAGAGAUCAGAAGAAGCAAGGAGGGGUUAUUUCACCUUUGUUAAACUCCAGCUGAAGCCGUGGCUCUAAGGUCAUCAGGAACCACAUUCCUCCCCUUGGAGAAAAUGCUUCCAAGGGAGGGAGAGGCUUUAAAAGUAUGUGGGCACCAGCUUUGCCAGUAGGACAGCCACCCUCAGUCACCCCCAUCCCCUGUACGCAGUAGGAACAGCAAUACAUCAUGCAAGCCUGCUCUGACCUUGACCAGAGGCGCUGAACAUACCCACAGAGCCCAACAUGGGCCUGGCAGGGAGGCAUAUCAGCCCUGAUCAAAGCUGCUAUGGAGGAGUUCCCGUGGUGGCUCAGCAGCAACAACUAGGAUGACUGAAUGCAUCUGUAAAAACAACUGUGGGGACUCUUUAAAAAAGAAAUGGAUGAGAACAUUCUGGAAACAGUCAUUUUUAAAACACACCUUAGCACACCUUUUGUCCCCCUCCUCGCCAGCAGUAUUCGGAUUUCACUCUCUUACAAACACCACUGUUGCUCUCCUCUUCUUAAAGGACACCUGCCGGCAGCGUUUUAGGGUGCUUUCGGAGACCUCUUUGGUGAAAAGGAAUGGUGAUACAAACUUUGAGAAGCGUUCUUGUUGUGAAGGAGGCGCCAGAUCAAAUCCUGCGACCUGGGAUGUCAGGUCCACACUCAGGAAAUUAUUUCUUCUUCAAGAGAAUGCAGAGGGAAUAUGGGAAAAAGGGAGACCCUUUCUGAAAUGAGGGCAUCAGCUUCCUGGCAGAGCCCGGGACUACGAAUCCACUGACAUGGUUCUUGAGAAAACUUACAUUUGUUAGCAUCUCUGAAUCUUCCAGAACCACAGCAUGUUAAGUCUUACACUCCUCUCUCUCCCUGACCAACGCUCUUCGUAAAGACCGGGGGGCAAGCUAAUCGCAGUAAAAGGGGUUAAACAGAGUAAGAGGCUCUCAAAAGUGAGAGCCUCUGGCAAGGUCUGGGUGUGCAGUGGCAGACGAGGCAGGGUGUCUGCAGAAUCCUUUCCAAAUGUCCCCAGCUUCAGAGGUGAGCAGGCUUUGUCCUGUGCACAGUGCCGAUGUGACAACAGGUUCAGAGGGGACAGAAUGGUGGACUCGAAGAAUACCAAAACACACAGGACGGAAGGCCUGUGGGGAGAGCGAGGCCUCUGUCACCCACCAUGUGACAGAGCAGACAACGCCAUGCGGCUCUGCCUCAACUGAGGAGACAGCACCCAGGUCUCUUGGGUGAACCCCCGCCUUGCCAGGCUACCAGGAAUCAGAAAGGAAGACGCUGCACGCAUCGAAACUCAAACUCGAGUCCUUUUCUCAAUAACACUUAAUCGAGAAAGAAAAGAAAAGAAACCCACAGAAAAGUCAGGCAAACCCACUGAUGAACCGGCAGAUUUUACUUCUCUCCACUGCGGGAGCCCCGGCUUUUUAAAAGUGUCCUCAAUCCGGUGAUGCUAUCAGCUUUGACGUGUGGUUUGAAAAAGCGGAUAUUACACUUUAACUGCCCUCACGAUGGAAACAUUUAAGGCAAACCAUCGAGUUUAUUUUCCUCCUCGCCCAGCCGAGAUAAGCUGUGCCUGGAACCCCGGGGAGUUCUCGUAAACGGGCGCCUGGUGGCCUGAUGGGAAGCCGGGCUGAUGUGCAGAACCUCUGCCCUCCGCACACACCUGAGGUGCCGGGGCAGAUCCGCUGGAACAAGGGCAAUCAGAACAGGUCCAGUCAUCAGAUCAUUUCUGAUUGAAAAUUCUGAGAAGUGAGUUAUGCACGAUGCUCGGUUAGUCACUGUGUUUCUCAAAAGCGCUGCGCUGUGGAAAACCGGAGCCCGCCCGUCCUGGGGCCCGAAGGUCAACUUCAUGGGUUCGUGCACACGUGCGAGGGGCAGGUUCCACUCCUGCCAGGUUCGAACCUCCCAUCUUCUGUCUCCCCUUCCCACAGCCUGGCUCAGCCCCAAGAAACCCACGGGAGGCAGGUGUGGGAACCUCGCUGCACCCUGGACACUCUCGCCAGUGUGUCCCGCAGAAGAGAAAAGUUAGAUUACCUUGCGUUAAAAUUUAGAAUCGGGCUCAGUCGCAGCUGUGGCAAGAACAUUAGGGAGCGAGGAAGGUUGGCCUGCAAGAUCCAUGCAUUUCCAACAAGCAGAAAUGGUCACUUAAAAAGACACAAAGUCUAGGACCUUAUCAGCUACAUGCUUGAGCUUCAGUGCAAAGCACAAACUGAGUUUCGACGGUACAUUUGGGGGGUGGGGGGUGGGGUUCCUUAGCUCAGAUGGACUUGACAGCGUUGUGUGGAAGCACAGCACCAAAGUGAGGUGUGUGUUCAUGUUGUCUAAUUUCAUUUCAUUAGAAGAUAAAAGCUACCUGGGAAAUGAAAGGAAACAUUAAAAACUGCCGCAACAAAGCAAAUUGCUCCGUGGCAUUUGGGAAUCCUUGGUCCUCAAGUACAUCACGCACAGAAAAGACAGCUGCUCAGCCAGAGACAGGUGUGUCAAGGAAAAUAUGGUGCAGCAAGCUCGAAAGGCCUGUCCAGAAAAAUCUUCCGUUCUAAGUUGCUGGGAAACAGAAGAGCAGGGUUUGCGGUGAGCCUCCUCUCACCUGUGUGAACAGCAAGAGCAAAGGAUGAAGAUCUGAGCAGAGGAAGGCAGAUGAAAGAGA
This 3136-nucleotide long non-coding RNA is filed under the name Sus scrofa (pig). Its description in RNAcentral is "lncRNA (ENSSSCG00025038377.1)". The record is from RNAcentral. Lineage: Eukaryota; Metazoa; Chordata; Mammalia; Artiodactyla; Suidae.